CCAGGCUGCAGUGAGCUAUGAUCACACCCCUGUACUCCAGCCUGGGUCACAGAAUAAGUCCCCAUCUCAAAAACAAACAAAAAAAUCCACCUAUGGAGGACUGUUAGAGAUAGUGAAUUCACAAACUGAACUGGCCAUAGGACAGUGGAAAGCAGAUUGUAGUACUUUUCCUUUCCUUAAGGUAGUCUACUGCAAAGAACCACCUCUCCAUGUAAGAGCUGCUUUGGACUCCUUAAGUUUUAUAUAUAUGCCCGAGGGCUUGUGUAGUGGAGGGCUUGUGUACUUUCCCCUGCUUCUCAGAAGGGGAAAAGAGCUGAACCAAGCAUGCCAACUUAUUCUUUCCACAUUUUUAAGUCAGGAAGUCACUGCUUUGUCUAGAAGAAUGUGUAAAGGAGUGAGAGAUUCCAGGAGUUACCAAGUGGGCUACCUUCACUUUAAAAGAAAUAACAGGGCUGGGCAUGGUGGCUCACACCUAUAAUCCCAGCACUUUGGGAGGCCGAGGCGGGUGGAUCAUGAGGUCAGGAGUUUGAGACCAGCCUGGCUAACAUAGUGAAACACCGUCUCUACUAAAAAUACAAAAAUUAGCCGGGCAUUGUGGCAUGCACUUGUAGUCCAAGCUACUUGGGAGGCUGAGGCAGGAGAAUCGCUUGAACCUGGGAGGCAGAAGUUGCAGUGAGCUGAGAUGACGCCAGUGCACUCCAGCCUGGGCAACAGAGUGAGACUCCGUCUCAAGGAAAAAAAAAAGAAAUAACAUUAAUGGGGUAAAAUUUCCCCACUCCCCAAUUCCCUCAGGUGGAAAUCUCAGGUCUGUUCUGCUUACCAACAGGGAAAGUUUAAAGAAAGAGGAAAUGAUCGCAGGGAAAAGCUCCAGUCUUUUGACUCUCCAGAAAGGAAACGGAUUAAAUACUCCAGGGAAUCUGACAGUGAUCGUAAACUUGUUGAUAAAGAAGAUACCGACACUAGCAGCAAAGGAGGCUGUGUCCAACAGGCUACUGGCUGGAGGAAAGGGGCAGGCCUGGGAUAUGGCCAUCCUGGAUUGGCUCCAUCAGAGGAGGCUGAAGGCCGGAUGAGGGGCCCCAGUGUUGGAGCCCCAGGAAGAACCAGCAAAAGACAGUCCAAUGAGACUUAUCGAGAUGCUGUUCGAAGAGUCAUGUUUGCUCGGUAUAAAGAACUCGAUUAAGAAUGGAGACAAGUUCCAUGGGACACAACCUCCUUCUUGUUUUGUUUGUCUCUCCUUUUCUUUUGUUACUGUUCUUGCUGCUAGAACUUUUUUAAAUAAACUUUUUUUCAAUGUGA
Molecule: long non-coding RNA, 1296 nt
Organism: Piliocolobus tephrosceles (Ugandan red Colobus)
Lineage: Eukaryota; Metazoa; Chordata; Mammalia; Primates; Cercopithecidae
Exons: 3
Source: RefSeq, a predicted model, not a curated record